Molecule: ribosomal RNA, 871 nt
Filed under: uncultured bacterium
Lineage: Bacteria
Description: bacterial SSU rRNA
Rfam family: Bacterial small subunit ribosomal RNA
Source: RNAcentral
GGCUCAGAACGAACGUUGGCGGUGUGCCUAAUACAUGCAAGUCGAGCGAGAAAACCGGGGCAACUCGGUGAGUACAGCGGCGGAAGGGUGCGUAAUACAUGGUUAACGUACCCCCCAGAUCGGGAUAACCCUCCGAAAGGUGGGCUAAUACCGGGUAAUGGCAGCGGGUGGCAUCAUUUGCUGCUUAAAGACGCAAGUCACUGGGGGAGCGGACCAUGGCCUAUCAGCUAGUUGGCGGGGUAACGGCCCACCAAGGCGAUGACGGGUAGCCGGACUGAGAGGUUGAACGGCCACACGGGAACUGAGACACGGUCCCGACAUCUACGGAUGGCAGCAGUAGGGAAUCUUGCACAAUGGGCGAAAGCCUGAUGCAGCGACACCGCGUGGGGGAUGAAGGCCUUCGGGUUGUAAACCCCUUUCAUGAGGGAAGAAUACUGACCUAACCUCAGGAAGAAGCACCGGCUAACUCCGUGCCAGCAGCUGCGGUAAUACGGAGAGUGCAAACGUUGUUCGGAUUCACUGGGCGUAAAGGGCACGUAGGCGGCUCGGCAAAUCGGUCGUGGAAUCCCGACGCUUACCGUCGGAACGGCGGCCGAAAAUACCGGGCUCGAGGGCGUGAGGGGUCACUGGAACUCCUGGUGAAGCGGUGAAAUGCGUAGAUAUCAGGAGGAACGCCGGAGGCGAAAGCGAGUGACUGGCGCGUUCCUGACGCUGAGGUGCGAAAGCUAGGGGAGCAAACAGGAUUAGAUACCCUGGUAGUCCUAGCCGUAAACAAUGGACACUGAGUGAAGGAGGGCUUGCCCUUCUUUGCUGCAGCUAACGCGUUAAGUGUCCCGCCUGGGGAGUACGGCCGCAAGGUUAAAACUCAAAG